GACGAACGCUGGCGGCGUGCUUAACACAUGCAAGUCGAACGGAAAGGCCCUGCUUUUGUGGGGUGCUCGAGUGGCGAACGGGUGAGUAACACGUGAGUAACCUGCCCUUGACUUUGGGAUAACUUCAGGAAACUGGGGCUAAUACCGGAUAGGAGCUCCUGCUGCAUGGUGGGGGUUGGAAAGUUUCGGCGGUUGGGGAUGGACUCGCGGCUUAUCAGCUUGUUGGUGGGGUAGUGGCUUACCAAGGCUUUGACGGGUAGCCGGCCUGAGAGGGUGACCGGCCAAAUGGGGCUGGGGUUACGGCCCAGAUUCCUACGGGAGGCAGAGGUGGGGAUUAUGGACCAUGGGGGGGAGGCUGAUGGAGCAACGGCGGCUGGGGGGAUACCGGCCUCGGGGUUGUAACCGGCUUUGGCUUGGGAGGAGGCGUGGGGGCGGGUAUGGGUAAAGAAGCACCGGCUAACUACGUG
This 467-nucleotide ribosomal RNA is filed under the name uncultured bacterium. RNAcentral describes it as "partial 16S ribosomal RNA". It matches the Rfam family "Bacterial small subunit ribosomal RNA", at positions 28 to 507 of the family's 1533-position model. The record is from RNAcentral.